CCUUUCUGUCCCUCAGUGAGUUUGAAGCAAUUUGUGUGGGAGUCGGAAGCUCCAGAGAUCCAUUCUUCUCCCCUUCCCUGCAGUGUCAACAGAAUGAUAGUGAAGGAUUAGCUGUGGGAUGAUGGUGGGGCUUGAUCUGAAACAGUGGCUUACGAGUGACGCACCCUACUGGAUGUGAGAAUGAUGGGAGACAAGAACACAAAUGAUGCUGGCCUGACAUCCCCCUGGCUUGUAAAAGAUGACACAUUCUUCUCUGGAUAAACCAGCUUCCAUGAAGCAAAGGCCCAAAGCAGUGCCCUCCUGUCUGCCUAUAAGCCACAUGAAGUGAAAGGCCAUGUCUUGAACGGAGAAGAACAAAUUUGGGCAUGUUGCAAAUGUGGCCUGGAGUUUGUACUGUGAGAUUAAAGGAUGUCUGGUUGAAAUAAAGACAGGCCAAAAAAAAAAAAACCAGACUGAAGGAAGGAAAUUACAGGCUAUAGGAGUCUUGGGCCUGGAGGCCCAAAUGAAGCUGGUAAAGUGCCUCACUGUUUGUCAGAGGUCAGCAGAAGAGGGGGAAGCACUUGGCUACUGAAGUGGACAAUGGAAGUGACUUUGUUAGAGGCUGAGAAGAAGAAUUCUCUCCCUAAGUGCUGGGGAUCAAAUCCAGGACCUCAAAUGUGCUCGGUGAUUUGGCCACAUUCUUCAAGGUCUUUCUGUCAUGUUUUCUGAUACAGUUAACAUAAUCUGCAGCCACCUUUUCUGGGAAUUGGUCUCACUCACAAGCGAUGCUCAAAGACUAUGCCUCGCACAGAAUAAGUGCCAAUAAAUAUUUGUUGAAUUGAUUUUCCUCUUCAAAGAUGUGGCAGAAAGACCCUCCUGCCUUAUGGACAUAAUUCUUUUGUGCAGCGGUUAUUGAAUUCCUUCUGCAUGGAUAUUGGUUGCAUCAGCCAAUACAAGAUGUCUUUCUUGUGUUUCCUGAUGUGGAAACCAGACCCUGCUCUGUGAUGGAGUCUCCUGAUGUUGACCAGCCUCUUCCUGCCUCCCUACAGCAAGGUGGGGUCCUCCCUGAUGAUGACAGCAAGAUGCAAGGGCUGACCUCAUUUGUGGUAUCCCAGAAUGUGGAACCCAG
RNAcentral lists this long non-coding RNA (1108 nucleotides) under Heterocephalus glaber (naked mole-rat). RNAcentral's name for it is "lncRNA (ENSHGLG00000046612.1)". Lineage: Eukaryota; Metazoa; Chordata; Mammalia; Rodentia; Bathyergidae. The record is from RNAcentral.